This is a long non-coding RNA of Felis catus (domestic cat), 4390 nucleotides long. RefSeq lists it as uncharacterized. The transcript has 2 exons. Lineage: Eukaryota; Metazoa; Chordata; Mammalia; Carnivora; Felidae. The record is from RefSeq and is a predicted model, not a curated record.
GUCUAGACCCAUGGACUGCACAACACCAAACGUGACCACUAAUGUAAACUGUGGACUCUGGGUGAUGACGAUGAGUCUGUGCACCAAAUGUGCCACCAGCACAUCUGUCCCUUGCAGCCUCACGUUCACAGUUCACUUGGAGAAGAGUCCCGGGAACACCUGGCACCGUGCACACCUCGCCGGAACACUGACAGCUCCAGAAACCAUGCCAGCGCCCGUCACGGAAAUGGCACAUUUCAGGGACAGCUCCAGCGAGGACCAUCCGCUGCCCCGCUUCCAAAAUGAUGACAAUAAACACAGGAUGGCAGCAUUCGGAGGACAGGGAAGGAAAAGGCAUGUGGCCCGGUGAAGCAAGCCGUGCCCACGUGACGGGGGGCGCUGGGGGACGCAUCUGCUUCCCACCCCGCUCGGGGCAGCACAACCUGAAAGUCUGCAAAAUCUGGGAGUGAGUGCUUUAAAAAAGCGGGUCGUAAAUACCUGGUCGUACUUACAGUUAUGAAAACGUGCUAACAAGUGUUACGAUAAACGGCGCGUUUUACUCACAGAAAUUCAGUCUUCAUGUAGAGGAGGAUAAAGAAAAACUUCAACUUUCAGUCAGAAUUCGUACAGAAUUAAAGUAAGUCCUUGUCCUCUACACAAGCCAGGCCUGAGCUUAUGAAUGAACCAGGGAGCCAAGGGUCAUCAGGAGUCCUGCCCAGGAGGUGCUGACAGACACAGUUUUCCAGUUCUCCGUGUGGACGGCACAUUUACCCAAACAAGUUCCAAGUGCAAAGAGGAGGAACGGUAUUUCCCACUACAUUGUAAACUAAAAGCAGCAUACGUUUAUUUUUGAGCAACAUGCUUUAAGGAAAGAGCCUAGGGCAUGGAAAUCUCAAAGUAAUCCAGAGCGUUUUGCUCUAAAAUUCUGUCCGCAGCACGGUGUAUUUCGCUUAUGGUAUUAUCACAGCAUUGACUUGCCCUGUGACCUCGCUGACGCAUUUGCUCACCGGCUGGCCGUCGGCUGGGACGGUGGAAGGGACUAACCCGUGGCUUUUUCACCGUGGACCAUGCUGGCCUGGUGGCAGCAGUCCACGAGCAGCAGGACGGUCAAGUCUCCCUGCGGAGGCACCUUCCCAGGCUGUGUUUGCACCAAAUGUGCCAUUGAGUAUCCCUGGGACUGACCGAGACCCGACUGCACCCGGGUCAUACCACCCACAGUCCGUACGGACCCAUCCGCGCCCCUCCCUAUUGUGAAUCGACUCCUGUGGACCAAGGCCGCAUGUCCCCACUACCACGGCGUCAAGCUCCCAGUCCGGGGUCUCAUCAUCUACCUGGUGCCCACAUGCAGCUUCUUGGAGGCCAACCCCUCCUGAUUUAGAGACCUAGGAUCUAAAAGAUUAGCUCCCUGUCCUUCACCCCUGUGUGACAUUCCUGGAAACGGUCAGACGUGGGGACAGGGUUCUUGCCACAGACAUCCCCACCGGAGCAGAGGAACGGGGACGUGCCGUAGCUCCUGGUCCACGACGACUCUGAAAUCCCUGCCACGCCACGGUCAGCGGGGCUGGCCCGGGGGACCCGCAAGUCCGGCGUCCCUCAGGAAGCCCCAGCUCCGGGUCCCCUCCUGCUCUUCCGAGGGCCUCUCUGGGCCGGCCUGCCGCUCGCUCUGGUCCUUGGCGUCGCCCAGGGGCUCUUAUAACCACCCUUCAGGAAGACAGCCUUCCUUUUCCACGGGAACCGGAGGGUGUGCCGAUGACAGGCCUUCUCGCCUGGCUUCCCGCUUGUAGAAAACGGGGCCCUCUCCGGUCCGAGCGGGUGUCGCAUUCUCGUGCCCAGCGCUCCUAAGACCGCGCGCCGUCUUUGCAUUUUACAGCUCCGUCCGUCCAGUCAACGAAAGCCGCGUCCUCGGGGGCCUGCGGGACCUCUCUUUCUCCGGCUGUCUUGCAGCUCUUUCUGGUGGCGCUCUGUCGCCCCGUGUGGACCCGCGGGCCUGCUCCCCCCUGCACGAAGGGUCCCGCGGCACCCCCUCACCCCCAGGUGUCACAUCACCUCACGAACCCUCUGCCAGCUCUGGAGCCUGGGCACGAGAGCUUGUCUCACCCUCUAAGCCAGCGGGUCCUGGCGUUCCACACCCCCCAAGCCCACGUGAAGACUGAACAACUCGCCCCUUCUUCUCUUCUUUCCAUCCCACUCCUGCGGCGUCCCCUCACAGACGGCUGAAGAGCCAGGGGGGCGGCCAGCGUGGGAAACCCCCCGGCAACCCCCCGAGACCUGGUUUGCCACGUCACCCUGGCAGCCCCCCAAGUGCGCCUGUGCGUUUUCUACCAGUCAGGUUACCAGAGGCGUCGCCCCCGCCGCUGUCGUCGCCUCUACAAGACCCAGGCCACCACGGCCCCCUCUCCGCAGAGCACUUUUACACCCAGCCUCCACCAGUCGUCCGCCCUUUGUUCUUCCAGCCUGUGUCCCCAGCCCCCGCUCACUGCCUUGUCCCAAAGCCAACGUCACACGUUUCGGUUUUUUGCCGUUGCUUUGUCCAUCAUCUUACUUCCAGGAACCUGUUUCUCCAUCAGGUUGCUUUUGCUUUUCGCCUUGAAACGGGGUGGUUUAGCACAACUAUGAAUUCAACUUGGCCUGAGCUCGGCUGGACCCCGCUUCUCUGCGGCGGUCAUUGAUGCGUCCGUGGGCAACCUGGGAGUCAGCCAGGCCUGGCUGGCCGAGGGACAUGCCGACCGGCGGGCCUACCUCCGCCCCGUGUGGCACCUCGUUCUCAGCAGAACAGCCUCUCCCACACGGAGGAAGAGCUUUAAGGAGACGCCGGGCGCCUGGUGAGGGCCGGCCCGGAACUCCGCACGACUCCUGCCCCACAUCUGACGGGUCACCGCAAGUCAAAGACCAGCCUGGCUCACAGCUGGUGGAAGAGACCCUUCUUCUGAUGGCAAGGGUGGCAAAGCUUGGUCCACUCGUGUGCACUACAGACUGAACCCAGGACUUGGUUUUGGUGGGAACUAUGCGAGUAAGAGAAGGAAAUGGGACAAAAACAAGAAAACCGCUUGGUCGGUGCGUGUUCGAAUUCCGCCAAGAAACACUCCGGGAAAGCCACCACCAUAUCUUUCUGCGUGUUUUUUAACACUUAGCUUUUCUCCGCUCUUUCUCCCUACUUCUCCGCCCCCACCCACGACACAGCUCAUCACAAUCUCAAAGAAUUGACAUGGCCAACGUGUAGGGGAGAAUCGAGAUCUGAAGCAACUUGUUUCUUCCACCGUAAGCCAUAGGAAAAAAAUUCCAACUUUGCCGUCCAUAGAAUAUUAUCACGGCUUGGGGCACAGACGCUUUUGUUUAAAAAUGACAUGUGUCCAAACAGUGAAAUACUUUGAAAUGUCAUAAAACUCACAGCAACAUUUACACUUCAGUUGAAAAUCAAAACAAAUUCCUGGCUGGAACAAAUUUCUGUGUGAUGCGUGUGUUUUUCCCCAAAGUCAACUUCUGUGGGAUAGUAAGGUUGAUAUGCUGACCUCUGUUUGAAUGAAGCGAUUAAGGAGUUGUCGCCCGGCAACAGAGUCGGCAUGUUUGAUGUUUGGUUCAGGGAGGUUCACAUCUGGAUAUAUUUUUAAGAGGUCCUCUGAUUCGGGUAAAAAUAAUAGUUUGCUCUUACAUGGUUUGUCUCUGAUGGCUGUCAAAAUUAUAAGAACAAAUGGUACAGGUUGGGCUUGAAAAUAAUAGCUGCCUUUGGGACACGUGAAGCUUCUGGACCCAUCUCAUAAAUCCCAGUGGAAACGGGUCCCUCGGGACGGUGGUUGACGGGUUUGAAUCUGUUGUGUGCUUCAUUUCCCUUGUCCGUCUUUCACGUGUUCAUCCUCUUUGUAUUACGUUUCCUGUUUCUACACCGAGUUCUACACCAAGUUGGAGUUCUGCUCCAACUCAGGCUCGUCAGGCAAAAACGAUGUUUGACUCUGAAUACCUAUCUGGUCUGCUCCUGACGUUGUUAAAUGCAACGAAAACCCGUCCCCUUCAUACUGAUCUCUUGCGUACCGUCGUGGGAAUAUAAUGUUUGUGACUCAUCAGGUAGCAAAGUGGUCUAGCUUUUAAACAUGCGGCACUUUAAGACUUUGACAGCUAAAACCGUAAAAUACAAUGAAGCAAUAUGUUUCUUGUUUACAUUUAUGGCACUCAAAAUGUGCCGGUUUAGGGCCAUAAAAAGAAGAAAAAAAGUGGUAUAAUUACAUUCAUCGUGACAGAAAAUUUAAAAAAAGUAAAGCUUCUCCACGUGAAUUGUCGUGCACGAAUUUGCGGAGUCUUUUCCUUAUUAACUCAUUUGGUUUUUAUGCAGCAAACAACUCACGGCUUAAACACCACGCUAAUGUCUUGCUCAAGUACUAGGAACACAAGAUUAACUAAAUUGCUAACAAUAAAGUAA